CUACGGAAGGUCCGGGCGUUAUCCGGAUUUAUUGGGUUUAAAGGGAGCGCAGGCGGAGAUGCAAGCGUGACGUCAAAUUUCGGGGCUCAACCCCGUCUCGCGUCGCGAACUGCGUCCCUUGGUUGCGGGAAGGGGAGGCGGAACUCGUGGUGUAGCGGUGAAAUGCAUAGAUAUCACGAAGAACUCCGAUCGCGAAGGCAGCCUUCCGGCCCGUCAACGACGCUCAUGCUCGAAGGUGCGGGUAUCAAACAGGAUUAGAUACCCUGGUAGUCCGCACAGUAAACGAUGGACACCCGCGGUUUGGCCUGUAUGGCUGAGCCGCCAAGCGAAAGCGUUAAGUGUCCCACCUGGGGAGUACGCCGGCAACGGUGAAACUUAAAGGAAUUGACGGGG
RNAcentral lists this ribosomal RNA (393 nucleotides) under uncultured bacterium. RNAcentral describes it as "partial 16S ribosomal RNA". It matches the Rfam family "Bacterial small subunit ribosomal RNA", at positions 523 to 918 of the family's 1533-position model. The record is from RNAcentral.